GAUGAACGCUAGCGACAGGCCUAACACAUGCAAGUCGAGGGGCAGCACAUGAGUAGCAAUACGAUGGUGGCGACCGGCGCACGGGUGAGUAACACGUAUGCAACCUGCCUGUAAGAGGGGAAUAACCCGGAGAAAUUCGGACUAAUACCGCAUAAUACCACGAGACUGCAUGGUUUUGUGGUUAAACAUUAUGGCUUACAGAUGGGCAUGCGUAUGAUUAGAUAGUUGGUAGGGUAACGGCCUACCAAGUCUACGAUCAUUAGGGGUUCUGAGAGGAAGGUCCCCCACACUGGUACUGAGACACGGACCAGACUCCUACGGGAGGCAGCAGUGAGGAAUAUUGGUCAAUGGGCGAGAGCCUGAACCAGCCAAGUCGCGUGAAGGAAGAAGGUUCUAUGGAUUGUAAACUUCUUUUGCAGGGGAAUAAAGGACGGUACGUGUACUGUUUUGUAUGUACCUUGCGAAUAAGGAUCGGCUAACUCCGUGCCAGCAGCCGAC
RNAcentral lists this ribosomal RNA (498 nucleotides) under uncultured bacterium. RNAcentral describes it as "bacterial SSU rRNA". It matches the Rfam family "Bacterial small subunit ribosomal RNA", at positions 28 to 518 of the family's 1533-position model. The record is from RNAcentral.